GACGGGACCGCACAAGCGGUGGAUGAUGUGGAUUAAUUCGAUGCAACGACGAAAACCUUACCUACCCUUGACAUGUCCGGAAUCCCGAAGAGAUUUGGGAGUGCUCGCAAGAGAACCGGAACACAGGUACUGCAUGGCUGUCGUCAGCUCGUGUCGUGAGAUGUUGGGUUAAGUCCCGCAACGAGCGCAACCCUUGUCAUUAGUUGCCAUCAUUUGGUUGGGCACUCUAAUGAGACUGCCGGUGACAAACCGGAGGAAGGUGGGGAUGACGUCAAGUCCUCAUGGCCCUUAUGGGUAGGGCUUCACACGUCAUACAAUGGUCGGUACAGAGGGUUGCCAACCCGCGAGGGGGAGCUAAUCCCACAAAGCCGAUCGUAGUCCGGAUCGCAGUCUGCAACUCGACUGCGUGAAGUCGGAAUCGCUAGUAAUCGUGGAUCAGCAUGUCACGGUGAAUACGUUCCCGGGUCUU
This 469-nucleotide ribosomal RNA is filed under the name uncultured Rhodocyclaceae bacterium. Its description in RNAcentral is "bacterial SSU rRNA". It matches the Rfam family "Bacterial small subunit ribosomal RNA", at positions 917 to 1381 of the family's 1533-position model. The record is from RNAcentral. Lineage: Bacteria; Pseudomonadati; Pseudomonadota; Betaproteobacteria; Rhodocyclales; Rhodocyclaceae.